This is a long non-coding RNA of Teleopsis dalmanni, 864 nucleotides long. RefSeq lists it as uncharacterized. Lineage: Eukaryota; Metazoa; Arthropoda; Insecta; Diptera; Diopsidae. The record is from RefSeq and is a predicted model, not a curated record. The transcript has 3 exons.
UCUUUUGGUGUGUUCAACAGGUUCACUAACAACCAAUUCACAAGGCAUUAUAGUCUGAUCACACGGCGCGAAUAUUUGUAAUUUCAGUUGCAAUUUUGCUUAUUCAAUUCGUUUCAAUAUUUUUUGGCAAUAUAUCUAAUAUUCGUUGUGUAAAUACUAAGCACAACACAACACACUAGACUGUCAAGUAAACUGUCUUUCCAAGGGAAUGGAGUUUCAGCUUUUGCGAAGCCUUUUUAAUUCUUUAGUCGUAAAAUUUCAAAAUAGUGCCGUAUUUAUUGAACUGCGACCAGGAGAGCAGUACGCCAGCUGGAACUACUAAAACGACUGCAAUAUCCGGAAGCAAUUAAAAGUGUGUAGUUAAAGAUGUACAUAUUUAAAUAAAGUAUCUUAAAGAAAAACAAAAAUAACAUUCAUUAGCAAUAUGUGUCCGGAUAUAAUUGCAUGGGUCAACACAUUAAAAACGGAAUAAGCAAGUAUCUUUUUCCGAAACUCAUGCAAUUUUCCAAAAGUUAUAGGUUGCCUAGAUGAAAAAAGAAAAUUUAUUAGUACAUUUGUCGGACAUCCAGGCUCCUGUUAUGACAUUUGGGUCUUACAAAACUCUCCUAUUUUUUUGCUACUACCAUCGAAAUGUGGAGAAUAUUAUCUGCUGGCUGAUUCCGCAUACCCCUGCACAGAACUUACUCGUGCACAAAAGAAUUUUAAUAGGAAAUUGGAAUCAGGUCAAAUACUAAUAGAAAAUGCAUUUGGCAUUUUAAAACAACGUUUUAGACAGCUGUACUACUGUAAAUUGAAAGGAGUUGAAAAACUGUGUCACUUUAUUAGGGCAAGUUGCGUUUUGCACAAUAUUGCAAAUGAAAAUGA